RNAcentral lists this ribosomal RNA (253 nucleotides) under uncultured bacterium. RNAcentral describes it as "partial 16S ribosomal RNA". It matches the Rfam family "Bacterial small subunit ribosomal RNA", at positions 524 to 776 of the family's 1533-position model. The record is from RNAcentral.
UACGUAGGGUGCAAGCGUUAAUCGGAAUUACUGGGCGUAAAGCGCACGUAGGUGGCGACGUAAGUCGGGUGUGAAAGCCCCGGGCUCAACCUGGGAAUUGCAUUCGAGACUGCAUUGCUGGAGUACGGAAGAGGAGGGCGGAAUUCCCGGUGUAGCGGUGAAAUGCGUAGAUAUCGGGAGGAACAUCAGUGGCGAAGGCGGCCCUCUGGUCCAGUACCGACACUCAAGUGCGAAAGCGUGGGGAGCAAACAGG